GUUGAUUCAGUGAUUGUUAUUAGCAGUAAACCCACACCAACAAUGCAGUCAUUUGUGGUUCUGAAAAAUGUAAAUGUCAAUUUUUGGUCUUUAAAAAUUAUUAAGCAUAGAAAAAGAUAGCAAUUUCCAGUGUUUGCUUGGUUGGUAAGAUGCAGGAGAAUUAGCAUUACUCUUGAGAGCUGCCAUUGGUUAGCUGGAGGGAAAAUGGAUAUCAAUUAUACAUAAUCUAAGAAGCCUCUGCAUAAUAAUCAGGCCCAGUAGGGGCUUUGGGGCAGCUUCGUUAUUCUCUUGUAAACACAAGAGCCCAGAUAGACAUGUCAGUCAGGAGUAGCGGCUGCAAUUCUUCCUUUUUAACACCUUCACAUUCUAUUGCUUCAAUAUGCAAACAAGGCUGUUUAGCUGGGGGUUGAGUCUGUGCUAAUGAGCUCCCUGCACUAACCCUGAAGUAAAAAGGUUCUGUUUCACAGCUGCUCAGAGACUAGCUCCUCUGGGCAUGCUCAGGUAUUGGAAAAUAAUUCCUUUUAAACUGAGAAACGCCAAUCAGGAUUUCUUGCAUACUUUCCCUUUUCUCAGUGUGCUAAUGCAAUUACCUCAUAACUUGUGAAGUUUUUACAGCAGCAGAAAAUGUUUUGUCUUUGAAUUAUGUAGUUUUGCCACCAAACGGAAAGAGAGCUUGAAAAAUUCAGCAGAUGUAAAAUUCACACCCUCCUUAAUUCCUAGAGGACCGUAACUCAAGGCUAAUUUUCACAUUUCCUUCUUAAAGUGGACGGUUCUUUUAUCUUUCCCUUCAAUACUUUCUCCUGAUAUUAUCAUUUCCAUUUCCCUUUUGCUGGCCAGUGUCACUCUGAGUGACAGAGGAGCCUCUGAGAACAAUACAGCCAACAUCAUUCCUGCUUGACAUUGAUGGGAUCAACUUCUUUUGGGUUAGGAUCUUGAGUCUCUGUUAAAGCUGGGAUUCAGGGCAUUGCUAUAGUUAAUCAACUGGGGAAUUGCCUUGCUAAAAACAUACAGAACCUGUGAUAAUCCUUUACAUAGAAGCCGACAUAUACAGAUCUUGAUAUGAUAUACAAUGGUUUCUUCAAUAUCCAAUUAUUCUCAUGAAUAAAGUAAUAAUCUGCAUGGAACACGCAGAAAUCCCCGUUGGGUUAAUUUAGUGCCUCAUAGAAAUCAUUUGGGUUUUCUUUUUAAAUAGGGCAAUGCAUGGUCUCUUAUACAACUGCAUGACAUGCACCCUCUCCCCAUUCAUUCAUUCAUGCAUUCAUUCAUUCAUUCAUUCAUUCCCAGGGCCAUGCCUUCUAGCAACAUGACACAGGAGACAAGACCUAUUGGCAGGGCCACAUAAAUGUCUGUCAAGUGCAAGUUACAACUAUCUCAAACCGUAAUACAUUCCUAUGAAGAGAGACAGCACAUUUUUAACUAUUUAACAGUCGAAUAUUGUGAUCUGCUCUUUUUCACUUUGUUAUCUGUUGGAUUUCUAACUGCUGUCUCCGUGUGUGACAAUCCAUAUUACACUGAGUCAGUGGGAAAGUCUGGGCUUUGUAAUAUUUCAGCACUUGAAUUAUUUAUAACGUUAGCUUUACGGCAUAUUAAAUGCAGUUUUAGACAGGUAAAGCUACCUCCCUUCUGCCUUGCUGAAGCUCAUUAAAUGGCCAUCGUGACUGGACAGACUUAAUUGAAUUGCAUCCAAAUAAUUCUGUCAUUUGGAUGCAAACCCAAGUCAAAACAGCCUACCAAAAUCUCGGAGUUAUUUGAUUAGGACUGGCAACUGAUUAAAAGACCCUGUAAGCAGUUUAUUUAUGGCACUUCCGUGCAAAUUUACAAGUAAAAUUAGUGAACUGCAAUAGACUUUGUGACAUGAAAAUAGUUACAAAUUUUGGGUGACACUACUAGUUUCAGGUUUUUUCUUUAAAUAAAUCACUCCAUUUUGGUUCUAGUUUCUCCCUGGAUAAGUAUGGGCUUUUUUGUUUUUAAACAUUAAUCAAAAUCAUUAUCAGACAAGUAUUUUUCUAAGAAUUGUCAGAGAAGCCUCUUAUUCAUCUAUGACAGCAAGUUACUAAAGUAUACAAUUGUUACAUUUAUCUUUGGAUUUGAAUUCACAUUAUCCAGUUGAUAGAAUAAGAGAUUCUCACUUCUCAUUUAUUCCAGUUCUCCCUUCCGGUUCAGGCUUUAGGUGCUUAAGGUAUCCUGCAAAUUUGGUGCUUUUGCAAUCCUGUUAGGAGUCUAUUUGAACCUCUGCUGACUACAUAUCUAUCACUUAGGCCCAGAUUCUUCAGUGCUGCUCUCCUAAAUGGCUAACCCCAAGGUGGGCUCCUGCCUAGUGGAACUUCCAGCUCCAAGCAGAGGUGGGAAGGCUUUCCAUAUAAUACACAAGAAGAGUUUGUGGUAGUGGAAGAGUGCUGUAGCUGUGAUGGUUCAAAAAUUAUGCAAGAGGCAAGGAUUUCUUAGGGUGAUCUCUUUUAUUAGACCAACUGUAUGGUUGUGGGCAGUUUGACAUUGAAGGAAGAGCUUUGCAGGACUUGUCUGUGCUGUCUCACUCCUGCUAAUAUAGCCAGGAAUCAAAUACUGAGGAGUGGGAUUUAAAUAGCUUCUCUGGGGUCUGCUGGUUGUUGGGUCAGGGGCAGACAGAUACCUUUCUCCAUUCUAGAUUCUCAGCCGAAAGUCUCCUGCUGGAGCUCAGGGUCUGACCUAACCUAAAUGACUAUGAAGCCAAUGCCCAAGCAGCUGAAACCACCCUCUUCUGUCUUCUGUUGAUGUUUGAUCCCACUUAUUUGCACUGCAUUUCCAUGUGCCCUUUUUAUGUGCUUCCUUUUUGGUUCUGUGCAGCUUCACUUACCAGUUACUGGCCCCUGGCCUUGUUUAGUGUAGGACCAUCUGGGUAAGGCAUAUGCUAGUCUACAAAAUGGGGCUCAAUUGACAAGAAAAAUGCUAACCUACUUGUUUGAAAAACUCUGCUCAGUGCUACAGCAUCUACUAGAACAGCAGACUUCUUUGGUAGUUGUGAGUUGAUGUCCUUUGCAAAUGAAGACUAACACGCCUUGGUGUGGUUAGGUGGUGGCUGACCAGUAGGCCAAGGUGGUAGCUUUGAAAACAUAAAUGGUACUUCAGUUUCAUUCUUAUGUGCCUCAGGAGGCAAAGCAAUGAAGUCCCUUUAAAGACCUACCCAGUUUCUGCUUCAAUUGUCCAUCUAUAAAAUGGGGAUAUUACUGCUACCUUUGUCCCCUGCUUUGAUUGUCUAUUUACUAUAAACAAAUUAAGACAGGAGCUCCUGCAUUUAGCACAGGGCGAUCCUGCUUUUAGCUGGACCUUUUAGGUAACUCUAUUACAAACAGUAAACAAGCUAAUGGGAAAUGUUGUCAUACCUGGCCUAUAAUUUCCUUGGCUAAUUUACCAUUUUAUAAUAAUUUUCUUUCCCCACUGUAUGUUUGCAGCAUCUCUGAGUGUUUUCUUUUAGAAAGAAUGGGAAAACAGAGGAUCUUUUGCCUAACUGGAGCAAUUUGACAAAUGUCUAGCUGAUGCUUUUUCCACAAGUAGUAUAUUUUCCAAAACCUAAAUAUUCACAUUACUGGGUUUUGAAAGAAAAGUUGCAGAAAGCACAGAUGCCUAAAGGCAGCUAAUGUAUUGUGCACAGUGCUGGGAACAAGAGGUCCUGAGCCCUGUUCCUACUCUGCCACUUGAACCACCUUAUUUCCUUUGAAGUUAUAUUGCAUAUUACUAAUAUAAGCCAGAGGUAAAUAUAACUUUUCCCGUUUUAUGAAUCAAGAAGCCAAGAUUUAAAGGACUGAAGUCUAUGGUCAUGCAAGCCAGUUUCAGGGCCAAAAUUAUAACUUGCUUUUCCUGACUUCCAUGUGUGUAUUUUGUUCAUCAGAAAUAUGUCCCAAAAGCCUUUUAGAGCCUCAAUUUGUCCAUCUGUAAAAUAUGGAGAAUGAUGUUUAUCACAGAUGAAAGCUUCCUAUAUGCAGGCUUUAAGAGUUCCACAGCAUCACAUCUUCAAUAGCAGAUGGCAAAUGUAUUUUAAUGUGGACACCUGCUCAUUAACAAAUGGAUUUCCUACAAUCAGCUCAUUUCUAAAGCAUGGAUAAGGAAAAGGUUUUCUUUCCAUCCUGGGACAAUUUUCAAUAUUUCAGAAAUGUUUCUCUUUGCAGUGGGAUGCAGCCAAAACAUUGCAGGGUUUAUUACAAAUAAAUGGAGUGGGAGACAUGUCCUCCCCACACACACAUUUACAAACACCUGUGAAUUGCCCAGAACUUUCCUGGGAUGUAGAAGAUCCAGGUUUAAGUCCUUUCACUGCUAUUUUCCCACAUCUCAGGCAAAUGCCUGGAAUCCUGAGUUGUAGAAUUAGUGUCCCCUUUUCUGUCCCAAUGAAUACUUAUUUAUGCAAAGUAGAAUAUCACCAGCAGGUGACACUGAAAACAGAAAGCCUGUAUCCAUUCACCUGGGAUGUGGUCAAAAAACAUAAAAGGGAUUUACAUCUGGGGCAAAUUUUUCAUUUUAGACAAGUCCCUUGACCAGCAGUUUAAAAAACCACUUGGGGGAUGAACAUUUUCAAUGUCUUCUGUUGAAGCAGUUUUUCUUUGUAUAAUUAGUUAGAUAUUUAUUGCUCUAGAAUCUGGUCUGACUUAGGUAAAGCAAGGACUAGAAGCUGGAUUUUUCACAUUCACUGUGAAUGCCCUGACCAUUGUGGGGUUUGGUAUUCUGGCACCUUUUUUUUCUCUUUAGAACUGACAAACAAUUAUAUUUUGGGUCACAAACCUUUCUUCCCAAAUUAAGUUUAAUCAAUUUUGAUAAAUUUACACUUUCAGGAAAAACACUGACCGCCUCUACUCUUUUCAGGGUCUGCCCCCCCCCCCCAAAUAUACUAGUAGUCUUUCCAGCUGUUCUAAGUCAUCAGAACUUUUAUUUAAUACCAACUCUGUCCACUUACAUCUUAGUGGUCUGAAAGUGGAGACCUCCCAAAUCAGCUUCCAUGAUAUAUUGUUCUUUUCAUGUAUUUUCAUUUCUGAAAAAGAGAAAUGCAUUGUUUCAUGAAACUGACAUUUCUGCUGCUGAAGUUGUUCAUAAGAGGAUGAAGUUCGUUUGCACAGGAGAGGGAACUUUCACUGGAAUUAGUAUAGACUAUGGGAAGUUUCUAGGCCUGUGUGAAUAGGGAAGUAUUUGAUUCGGAUUUGGAUUCAGCCAAUUCGGAGGACAGUGAUUCAAUUCAGAGAUUUGGAUCACUGUCCCAAAUCAAUUUGGCUGAAUCGGCUUCGGGGGAUUCGGCGCUGAUUCAGUGAGAUCUGGUGAUUCAGCCAUAGACUAUAUUGGGGAAUCACUGAAAUACCAAUAACUUUGUCAUUUUUGGCAGAUUUGGAUGAAAACAGCAGAUAAGGUAUUCUCUUCUGAGGGCAUGAAGCCUGCCAAGUUUCAAGGAGACAGGUGCAGGGGUUUCGGGGAAACUGCACCUCAAACUGCUCAUGUGUGACUUUGUGCAUGUGUUAAGGUGCAGCGGGAUGAAAAUUACAGGAGUAGUAGCUGUUUCUACAUCCCUCCCCCAAAGUACUGUGAUUGGAAGGGGACUCAGAGAAAGAUCACGGUCACUGGCCAGCUACAGAUGUCAGUCUUUCCCCCCCAUGCUCCCUCUCCCUCUUAUCAGUUUCUGUUCCCCUGAAAGACUGCCUUCUGAAUCUCUGAAUCUUUUCCCAAAUCUUUUCUGAAUCAGUUUGGAAGUUCUGAAUUGAUUCAGAGGGUUUUUUGUCUCCCGAUUCGAUUCGGAUUCAAUGAUUUUGGCCUCCGAACUGGGCUGAAUCUUUUCUGAAUCGAAUCGGUGACCAAAGCUUCGCACACCCCUAGUAAUUUCCCUUUGUCUUUCCAUGCUCAGAACCCAAUGCAAAAGUUAUUUUCUCAGUUUCUCUUUCCCUGAAGUAGUUCUAGACAGAAACAUACUACAACUAGCAGUACUGCUACUACAAUUAGUACUAUUAGUACUCUAGGUAUCCUCUACAAAUUACUCAACCUAUUUCUUAGUUAGAAAGGUAGAUUCCAACUCCCCCCUCCCCUCAAAUUUAAAUACUUCAGCUGAGGCAAAUAUAUGUCUACAAACAUUGAAGAUUAAAAAGUUUCAAGUCUUGAUCAAAUCUAUUUUUUAAGUAUUACCAGAAAUGGAAAUGUGCAGUUGAGUCCUAUCUGUGUAAUAUACCUGUCUGUGUAAUAGUGUCAAAUCCUACUCCCCUUAUCCCUGUAAAAUGUCCUCAUGAAAUUUUGGGUGAUGUAAGGCCAAUGACACCAGUAGGCCAAUGAUACCAAAGCCAAGAAGGAAUGGUGAAUUAAAUCUAUUGCCAUGUACAUUAUUAAAGACAUGAUGUAUUGCAAAAAAGAUCUACUCAGGUAUAUUGGUGGACCAUUUGAGACUGAAGCACCUGGCACUAAGCCCUCUGCAGUUGCCUUCAUUCCAUAUAAAAAUGCCUUGCACUGUAAUUCAAGUUAAUGAUAUGCCAGUAGUAGAUUUGGAGAGCUAUAUGAGCUGGGAAAUAAUGGGAGAUGGCUGACAUCCUUAUAAUUAACUGGGCUAUAAAAUAAAGAUGCGCUGAGAUUAACACACUUUCUUGCAGCUAACAAAUGGUGGGGGAAGUACACUUGGGCUGGUUAUAAACUAUUGCAUUUUACAUUUUUAUCAGCUCAAAAGGUAUUUUUUUAAAUUUUGGAAGAUUUUGUAGCAGGCUGAAAAGAAGUCAUGAUGCAAUCUGGCUUGUUUGAAACAUUGCUCUUCAAAAAUAAAGGACAAUAGAUUACAAAAAAGUACUUUUCAAUGUUUUUUGUACCAUCAGGAAAGUAAUCACAAUUGAGAAACUUUCUAUAAGUUUAUUUGUUUUUUCUCUUUCUCUCUCUCUCUUUGUAGUUGAUGGUGCAUCAUGGGUAAUGAUGACUGGGUGAAUGCUGAUUGCCGAAUUUUAAUUUGUCAUUGUCUGUAUGUAUGAAAACAACAGAAAUAUGACCUGACAUGCAAAAUAUUUCAUGCAGUUUUCUUAUUUCCCCUAGGUAAUCCAGCUUGCUACCUAAGUAGUGGAAGCAGGACAAUUAGAUUAAAUGAAGCUAUAUUCUGCUCUGAGAUGGACAUAUCUAUUGUGUAAUUAUGGGUAGCCAUUGUUUUAUUAUGGAACUAAUUUAUCUUGUGAAGAUUUUCACUGUCAGAACUGCCAGUCAAAAUCUAACCCCAACUCAAGUCUCUCAAGGAGAUAGGCCAUGAAGUGGAUCAAAAUAAAACAGUGAAUAUUUUCUUCCCAAAUCUAUGCAUGUAAUUAUUUCUUUUCCAUAGUUCUGCCUGACUUGUACUCAUGGGCCCUGUAAGGGGUUUGCCACUGUUCUUGCUUAGGUUGGCAGAUAAGGUAUGAGGAUUUGGAACUAAGGCAAAAUCUCUGGUUCAUGUGAAUCCUUUGGGACUUUAUUGAUUUACCCCAGGGGAGUAUCGCCUGGUGUUGGAUGGUAGAUGUAAGCUCAUGCUUAAAGCUCAUGAUAUUCUACACAGCCAAGAUCCUUUAUACUGUAAUUAUUUUUCUGCCUUGGCUGGCCAGUCUGCCAGCUGGGUGUGUACAUGUCGUGUGCUGGGGCAGUCCUCAAGAUUCCCAACAGAAACACAGUUCUCCACAUUUUUAGUGCCUCAGUGAUAGAGUAAAUGUCUGAGUGUAGUGGACUCCUUAAAAUUAUUCCUUUGUGAAUCUGUUUUCCUUUCAGAAAAACUAUUUUUGUUACUUUGGAACCCUGUUAACUUAAUUAAAUAUUUGCAGUGUAUAAAUGUUUUCAAAUUAAACACUGACUCCAUAAAGUCAUCCCAGGUGCUAACUUAGCUUCAGGUCAUUAAUUCUAUUAUUUUAUGCAUUAAUACAUAUGAAGGGACUUUUGUUCUUUCUCUCUGUCUACCCAAGUGCCUGAAGUGAACUUUUUUUCUCUACUCCAGCUAAAUUACUAAUUAGUUCGAGGCACACCAGAGAUGAGAGCCUUUGAGAUUUUGAGAACUUGUGUUUUCAAUCCAAGUUUAUUAAGACAAUACUCAGUGCUCUUGUUGAGAGUUAUAAAAACAUGAUAUUCCUUGUUUUUGUUGGGUAGUGUCAGGACUAAACUGUUGAUUAAAACAGGCACAGUAUAAUCAAAAGGUAAAUUAAUUAUGUUAAUCUAUUAAUACAGUUGCUUUAAUUAGAGAAUUCUUCUUUGACCACUGUACAUUUCUAAUCAGAGCAAUGGUGUUAUCUGUGACAAAACUUUACAGUCUUCUGGAAACACUUAUUUGCUGAGGCUUCAUGAGUGCCAACUCAUGGUACCAAACUUUUGGCACUUGACAAUAAUCACCUAAGUCACCUAUGAAGUGAUAUAAGUCCUGACAGUUCUGAGAGGUAAUUGCACAGCAGACAGAGUGCUGAUUCACUGAAUCUGUCUCUUCAAUUUUCUUUAAUAAUAGGUACUAACUUAAUGUGCGAUAAGCGGUGCUACUAUGCAGUAGUGCAGGUGCAUGUCUUUUACAUGAUGCUAAUACACAGUAGACUAAUUCUACCGCGCAUUAGCACAUUAGCAGGGCUUUUGCCUGUCAUAACCCAAUGAUUUUUAGUGCCUCGGCACAUUGGAAUUUUCCUGCCACAUGGAGCUUUCUUUGCACGCUGGAUUUCUCAGCUGCAGAGAGAAAUCCCCGGUGCAAAGAGUUCCUGCCACACACAUGCAAAUUCAUACCCCAUUAUUGACUGAUUCUAAAUUAUUCCUACGUGGCGGCUAGCAAUUGGCUCGCUAGCCGUAUAAAAGAUUAGAGCAGCUUCCGCCCAAGUUGGAGGACUCCACAACCAUCUCGUGGAGAACUCUGAGUGCGCUGUGGAGCCUAGCAAACUCCGCGUGUGUCUUGGAGGAGGACAGAGAGGCCUGAUCAGCUCUUAGCCACUCCCUGUCAUAGUGUAAUUUGACGUAUUCCCCGUGUGAAAAAGCGCUCGUGGAGUCAUAUAUCGACGACUCAUCUCGGUUCGGUGAGGUUCAGAAGAGAUCUCACUUGUGUUUGUUUGUCUGCAACUGCAACUCAAGCAAGUUUCCUCCCUGCACUGUGACCAUCGGCAGUGUAAGUAAAGCUUUCUUUAUAAAACCAAUAUGCUGUCUCGCCUCUCCAUCCACCAGCCCGCCUGACGUUCGCUUAAUUAACCAGUGUUUCCCUCGGUUGGCUCCACCCGGCCGAGACAUUGCCGUGGUGUGCUAAUGUGCAGUAGAAUUAGUCUACUGCACUUUUCGCAUUUUGUGUAGAUAUGCCUAGUUACUGAUAAGUAAUUUUUCUUUUCAAAUGUACAAGAUACUUCAGGAUUUCACAAAAGAAUUGCAAUGGACACCUGAAAUUAAGCAUCAAAAUGGCCAUUUCCACUUCUCAGUCAACAAACAGAUUUUGUCUUCUGUUGAGAAUUGGAUCUGGUGAAGAUGACUUUUUCAACAGUAUCCAUUUAUCUGUACAUAAAGGUUUGGAGCUCCAUGUUGUCUGGGGAAGACUUCAAAAGCCAAGGCAGAAGAGAUGUGACCAAAAAAAAAAAAAAAAGG
This is a long non-coding RNA of Alligator mississippiensis (American alligator), 9528 nucleotides long. RefSeq lists it as uncharacterized. NCBI's taxonomy places the organism in Eukaryota, Metazoa, Chordata, Crocodylia, Alligatoridae. The transcript has 3 exons. The record is from RefSeq and is a predicted model, not a curated record.